UACAGAGGGGGCAAGCGUUAUUCGGAAUUAUUGGGCGUAAAGGGCGCGUAGGCGGCUUUGCAAGUGACGGGUGAAAUCCCUCGGCUUAACCGAGGAACUGCCUGUCAAACUGCAUGGCUUGAGACCGGGAGAGGUGAGUGGAAUUCCCAGUGUAGCGGUGAAAUGCGUAGAUAUUGGGAGGAACACCAGUGGCGAAGGCGGCUCUCUGGACCGGUACUGACGCUGAUGCGCGAAAGCGUGGGGAGCAAACAGG
This 253-nucleotide ribosomal RNA is filed under the name uncultured bacterium. RNAcentral's name for it is "partial 16S ribosomal RNA". It matches the Rfam family "Bacterial small subunit ribosomal RNA", at positions 524 to 776 of the family's 1533-position model. The record is from RNAcentral.